This 73-nucleotide transfer RNA is filed under the name Camelus bactrianus (Bactrian camel). It matches the Rfam family "tRNA". From Rfam's summary of the family: Transfer RNA (tRNA) molecules are approximately 80 nucleotides in length. Their secondary structure includes four short double-helical elements and three loops (D, anti-codon, and T loops). Lineage: Eukaryota; Metazoa; Chordata; Mammalia; Artiodactyla; Camelidae. RNAcentral also lists the same sequence under 2 other names. The record is from Rfam by way of RNAcentral.
GAGGGUAUAGCUCAAGUGGUAGAGCACAUGCUUAGCAUACAUAAGAUCCUGGAUUCAAUCCCCAGUACCUCCU